CGCACCUUGCGCCCCUUGGUUAUUCCUCGGGGCAUGCCUGUUUGAGUAUCAUGAACACCUCAACUCUCAUGGUCUUCCAUGAUGAGCUUGGACUUUGGGGGUUUGCUGGUCCUGUGGCCGGCUCCUCUCAAAUGAAUCAGCUUGCCAGUGUUUGGUGGCAUCACGGGUGUGAUAAUUAUCUACGCUCGCGGUCGUCUGCCAGGUAACCCUCAGCAAUGAAGGUUCAUUGGGGCUCAUAAACGUCUCUCCUCAGCGAGGACAACUUUUGAACGUUCGAUCUCAAAUCAGGUAGGACUACCCGCUGAACUUAA
Molecule: ribosomal RNA, 311 nt
Filed under: uncultured Tomentella
Lineage: Eukaryota; Fungi; Basidiomycota; Agaricomycetes; Thelephorales; Thelephoraceae
Description: eukaryotic LSU rRNA
Source: RNAcentral